This is a non-coding RNA of Vicia faba (fava bean), 327 nucleotides long. The record is from the annotation of a GenBank genome assembly. Lineage: Eukaryota; Viridiplantae; Streptophyta; Magnoliopsida; Fabales; Fabaceae.
AUGACUUUUCAUCUUCCACAAACACAAACUCCUCCCUCCUCUCUUCUCACGACAGUGCAAGGCCUUCUCUUUCAUUCCCAAUCAAACUCAUCCGCCGUACCAAACCUCUGUUCGCCGCGCUAUUACCAGCAAACUCUCUUCCCCUCUCGCGAAACUCGAUGGUGCAUCUUCAUCUUCUCUUCCCUUUCAGAACCCAGUGCGACGAAACUAUCUCUCUCGAUCCAUUCUCAAUAUGUCCUCCAUACUUCCGUCUCAUUAUCUUCUUCUUCAUUUUGCAUUCAUUCCUCCACCAUAGAAAAACAUUAUGACACCACACGCCACUUCUAG